RNAcentral lists this transfer RNA (79 nucleotides) under Ahrensia sp. R2A130. RNAcentral's name for it is "tRNA-Arg". It matches the Rfam family "tRNA". From Rfam's summary of the family: Transfer RNA (tRNA) molecules are approximately 80 nucleotides in length. Their secondary structure includes four short double-helical elements and three loops (D, anti-codon, and T loops). The record is from RNAcentral. Lineage: Bacteria; Pseudomonadati; Pseudomonadota; Alphaproteobacteria; Hyphomicrobiales; Ahrensiaceae.
CGGACCCUUAGCUCAGCUGGAUAGAGCAACUGCCUUCUAAGCAGUAGGUCACAGGUUCGAAUCCUGUAGGGUUCGCCAC